Molecule: long non-coding RNA, 1329 nt
Organism: Anopheles merus
Lineage: Eukaryota; Metazoa; Arthropoda; Insecta; Diptera; Culicidae
Exons: 5
Source: RefSeq, a predicted model, not a curated record
UUCUCUUCUGGUUCCAACCAGCUGAAGGGUUUGCGAUGCACGCUCGUCCGAGGCAGCUUUUUCCGUUCAGGUUUGUGCUGACGUUCGCCGGCGUUUUCAGUUCGUUCGUGUAAAGAGGUCGUGUCCCAUUCCUGUAUCUCAUGCAGUUCGUACGUGAAAAGCUAGUGAGAAAGCGGAUAAACGCAGUGCGAUUGUCGCGUGCAGAAACUUUGGUGUGAAAAUGGUUAACCCUGCCAUUUCGGCAUCCAAGUGAGCGUGUGUUGCCGGUAGUGUGUGCCAUUUGUCUCUGGUCUGGUGUUGAGCAAGCGUAAAGUGAGUGGCUGUAGUGGUUCGUGUGCGUCUUUGUUCUAUUUUGUGUCAGGUUCCCCAAGAGUGCAGCAACCGCCAGCCCUGCUUGGUUUGAAAAGAUUGAAAACGAAAUAACGAAACGCAAGGCAAAACACGAGCAAAGCAGCGGAGCUAUAGUUACAGAAGAUUGGAGAGUAAAUUUAGGCCGACGUACAGUUUAUCAGUCGGUAUUUGGGAAAACAACGUAAAAACAAACACAAACAAGAUUGCUCCAGUUUAUGUUUGCAAACAUACACACUCACACAGCUGGAUGAUAGUCGUGGCGUCCUGAGCUUAGAAGUGAUAUAUGGAUUAUUAAACGUAUGCAUCAAACGAGUAAGACAACUCUAGUCAACACACCAUCCAAUCGCGCAAGGAAUUAGUGAUUGAAAUCUAAGAUAAUAUUUUAUGAGUGUCAUACGAGGGAUGAUAGCUAUCAACUUAACGUUCCGUCUUUCAACAAAACAGUUUAUGUCUGAAGGAAGAAAACAAAUUUAAAAGUGCAAGACUGUCUAGUAAGCUGUCUGAAAGUUUUAUCAAAUAUAUGAAAAAAAGGAUCGAAAACCAAACCAUGCUAGACAUGUACCCUGAACUGACAUGAACAUCGAUCGAUUCUCCGAAACGGCAACUAUUUUGUACCGAGACUCGAUUCAACGACCUUCAGCAUUGCAAGCGGGAAGAAACAAUUUUGCCUGAAGAUGCAAAGAAGACAAUAGACAUAGCGUAUCAUACAUAAGCUAAAGUAUCUGGUAUGUUUGGUGUCUGGCUUAGGUGUCGAGAAACUCAAGAAAAUGGCACCAUCACAAGCGAGUUGAAAAUCUUCCCCCAGAUAAACAGAGAACCCGUCGUACAUGGGCCAAAAGAAAGGAGAUGAACCGUUUCCGUGGUUUUGAAUUGUUCGCUUCGUAUGUCCUUUGGUGAUAAAACUUUUGCCAGUCACAUCUAACGUUUUCUUCACACUGCGGUACUGCCGCCGUGGUAGGAGAUGGUUAAUCAACCAUG